This 253-nucleotide ribosomal RNA is filed under the name uncultured bacterium. RNAcentral's name for it is "partial 16S ribosomal RNA". It matches the Rfam family "Bacterial small subunit ribosomal RNA", at positions 524 to 776 of the family's 1533-position model. The record is from RNAcentral.
UACGAAGGGGGCUAGCGUUGCUCGGAAUCACUGGGCGUAAAGAGCGCGCAGGCGGUCGUACAAGUCGCGUGUGAAAGCCCCCGGCUCAACUGGGGAGGGUCACGCGAUACUGUUCGACUCGAAGGCAGGAGAGGGAAGCGGAAUUCCCGGUGUAGUGGUGAAAUGCGUAGAUAUCGGGAGGAACACCAGUGGCGAAGGCGGCUUCCUGGCCUGUUCUUGACGCUGAGGCGCGAAAGCUAGGGUAGCAAACGGG